GAUAAGGUUAAGUGAAUAAGGGCGCACGGUGGAUGCCUUGGCACUAGGAGCCGAUGAAGGACGGGACUAACACCGAUAUGCUUUGGGGAGCUGUACGUAAGCUAUGAUCCAGAGAUUUCCGAAUGGGGGAACCCAGCAUCUUUAAUAGGAUGUUACGAUUGUGUGAAUACAUAGCACAUUCGAGGUAGACGCAGAGAACUGAAACAUCUAAGUACCUGCAGGAAGAGAAAGAAAAUUCGAUUCCCUGAGUAGCGGCGAGCGAAACGGGAAAAGCCCAAACCAGCAAGCUUGCUUGUUGGGGUUGUAGGACUCCAAUAUGGUAGUUCUUUCAGAUAGUCGAAUGACUUGGAAAAGUCAGUCAAAGAGGGUAAAAACCCCGUAGACGAAAUGUGGAAGACACCUAGGRGGAUCCUGAGUACGGCG
This 423-nucleotide ribosomal RNA is filed under the name Enterococcus faecium. RNAcentral describes it as "bacterial LSU rRNA". It matches the Rfam family "Bacterial large subunit ribosomal RNA", at positions 1 to 419 of the family's 2925-position model. Lineage: Bacteria; Bacillati; Bacillota; Bacilli; Lactobacillales; Enterococcaceae. The record is from RNAcentral.